GUCUUUGUGGCUCAGUUGGUUAGAGCGUUGGUCUCAUAUUCGUAUGACUCAAUCCAAGAUUGGGGAAUCCAAAGGUCGCAAGUUCGAGCCUUGCCAAGGACA
Non-coding RNA from Whalleya microplaca, 102 nucleotides. The record is from the annotation of a GenBank genome assembly. NCBI's taxonomy places the organism in Eukaryota, Fungi, Ascomycota, Sordariomycetes, Xylariales, Xylariaceae.